Molecule: ribosomal RNA, 384 nt
Filed under: uncultured bacterium
Lineage: Bacteria
Description: bacterial SSU rRNA
Rfam family: Bacterial small subunit ribosomal RNA
Source: RNAcentral
AUUGAACGCUGGCGGAAUGCUUUACACAUGCAAGUCGAACGGCAGCACGGACUUCGGUCUGGUGGCGAGUGGCGAACGGGUGAGUAAUAUAUCGGAACGUAUCCAAUAAUGGGGGAUAACUAAUCGAAAGGUUGGCUAAUACCGCAUACGCCUACGGGGAAAGCUAGGGACCUUCGGGCCUGGCGUUAAUGGAGCGGCUGAUAUCUGAUUAGCUAGUUGGUGAGGUAAAGGCUCACCAAGGCGACGAUCAGUAGCUGGUCUGAGAGGACGACCAGCCACACUGGAACUGAGACACGGUCCAGACUCCUACGGGAGGCAGCAGUGGGGAAUUUUGGACAAUGGGCGCAAGCCUGAUCCAGCCAUUCCGCGUGAGUGAAGAAGGCC